AACAGGGAUUGCCUUAGUAGCGGCGAGUGAAGCGGCAAAAGCUCAAAUUUGGAAUCUGGCGUCGUUGGCGCCCGAGUUGUAAUUUGAAGAAGGUGUCUUUGGGCAUGGCUCUUGUCUAUGUUUCUUGGAACAGGACGUCACAGAGGGUGAGAAUCCCGUGCGACGAGAGGCCCAGCCCGUGCAAAGUGCCUUCGACGAGUCGAGUUGUUUGGGAAUGCAGCUCUAAGUGGGUGGUAAAUUCCAUCUAAAGCUAAAUAUUGGCGAGAGACCGAUAGCGAACAAGUACUGUGAAGGAAAGAUGAAAAGAACUUUGAAAAGAGAGUGAAAAAGUACGUGAAAUUGUUGAAAGGGAAGGGCUUGAGGUCAGACUGGGUUCGCCCGGCCAGCAUCAGUUUGGGUGGCGGGACAAGAGCGAGGGAACGUGGCACCGCUUCGGCGGUGUGUUAUAGCCCGCGCAGAUGCCGCCAGCCUGGACUGAGGACUGCGUCUU
Molecule: ribosomal RNA, 490 nt
Filed under: Yamadazyma sp. BC-3-1
Lineage: Eukaryota; Fungi; Ascomycota; Pichiomycetes; Serinales; Debaryomycetaceae
Description: eukaryotic LSU rRNA
Rfam family: Eukaryotic large subunit ribosomal RNA
Source: RNAcentral